RNAcentral lists this antisense RNA (75 nucleotides) under Streptomyces sp. TLI_146. RNAcentral describes it as "ASpks TB sRNA". It matches the Rfam family "ASpks TB sRNA". Lineage: Bacteria; Bacillati; Actinomycetota; Actinomycetes; Kitasatosporales; Streptomycetaceae. The record is from RNAcentral.
CUUCACCGAGCCCAGCCACAGCGGGUCCUCGCCCGAGCGCUCCUGACCGUACGUCGCCUGCAGCGCCUGCGCCUC